GACGAACGCUGGCGGCAUGCCUAACACAUGCAAGUCGAACGAGACCUUCGGGUCUAGUGGCGCACGGGUGCGUAACGCGUGGGAAUCUGCCCUUGGGUUCGGAAUAACUCAGAGAAAUUUGAGCUAAUACCGGAUGAUGACGUAAGUCCAAAGAUUUAUCGCCCAGGGAUGAGCCCGCGUAAGAUUAGCUUGUUGGUGAGGUAAAGGCUCACCAAGGCGACGAUCUUUAGCUGGUCUGAGAGGAUGAUCAGCCACACUGGGACUGAGACACGGCCCAGACUCCUACGGGAGGCAGCAGUGGGGAAUAUUGGACAAUGGGCGAAAGCCUGAUCCAGCAAUGCCGCGUGAGUGAUGAAGGCCUUAGGGUUGUAAAGCUCUUUUACCAGGGAUGAUAAUGACAGUACCUGGAGAAUAAGCUCCGGCUAACUCCGUG
Molecule: ribosomal RNA, 433 nt
Filed under: uncultured bacterium
Lineage: Bacteria
Description: bacterial SSU rRNA
Rfam family: Bacterial small subunit ribosomal RNA
Source: RNAcentral